Molecule: microRNA precursor, 100 nt
Filed under: Marmota monax (woodchuck)
Lineage: Eukaryota; Metazoa; Chordata; Mammalia; Rodentia; Sciuridae
Source: RNAcentral
AGUGGAAUAGCUGGCUCAAGUGGUGGUUCCAUUCGAAGUUUAAGGAAUGUCCAUACUACUUUCCAAAUUGGCUGCACCAAUUUUCAUUCCCACCAGCAGU